This is a non-coding RNA of Equus caballus (horse), 28903 nucleotides long. The record is from RefSeq and is a predicted model, not a curated record. Lineage: Eukaryota; Metazoa; Chordata; Mammalia; Perissodactyla; Equidae.
CUGCCGAAGCAGAGCGUGCCAACCUAACCACUUGGCCAUGGGGCCGGCCCUGGAUUUUUUCUUUUUUGAGGAGAGUGGUUUUCACCAAGUUGAAAGGUUGUAUUGCAUUGAUUACUAGUGAGAGUCAUCAUUUUUUAAUUUCUAUGAUAUUUGAUAGGGGAAAUAUGUUUGGUGUAUGUUUGAAUAUGUUUGAUAGUUUCUUUUGCUCAUUUCUUCUCCAUUCAGGUGAUUAUCUUAUUUUUAUCUUCUUGUUUUUUAAUUUUUAAGAAUUCUCUAUAUAAAGGAUAUCAAUCCCACAUCCACCACACAUUUUUCACAAUUUUUUUUUAUCGUUUGUCUUAAUUUUUUGACUCACAAAUAUCUUAAACUCAAAUACAGUCAAACAUCUGUAUUUUCCUCUGCAUUUUGUCUCUUUGGCAAUUUACUAAUUUAUAAUUCAACAAGCAGUUUGUGAGUAAUAAAUAAUAAUACAUAAAUGGAAUCGUGAGCAAUUUCCAUUCCCAGAUGGCACAAAUGUUGUUUUUCCUUAUUCUUUUACACUUUCACUUUUGGCAUUUCAAUCGUUAAUACACGUGCAUUUAUUGUGUUAUGUCAUGAGAUAAGAAUUUAAUUUAUUUCAAAGUGGUUAACUGUUGAGUCCAAUGCAGUCUUUCCUCACUUUUAUGCAAAUCCAUCUUAAUCCCAUACCAAAUAAUUAUCCGGCAAGGAAGCCUCCCGUUUGGCAGCCAAGCACAGGGGCUAUUUAGAUUAAUGAUGGUAUCCGGGGGCAGCCCAGUGAGGUGUCUGCAGGGAGAGCUGUCUAUGAACUUACAUCCAGAAGUGAUUCAACAGUUUUGAGAAUAUUUUGAUAAAGGAGCAACUAGGGGAAAUCAAGAUUUUGCCUAGGAAUCUAUCUUAUAAAAUAUUCAGCAACAGUUGACUAUGAAAGAAAAUGGCGAGCUAAGCUAGCUCAUCUGAGGCCUGCCUCAUGCAGGCUGUUGUCUUUGCCGUCUGUGGCCUGAAGGUACAUCUCCUUGGGGCUCUGACACCCACCUGGUGCUGCGGAAUCCCCCUGCUGCUGGCCCUGGCUCUCUGUGCUGUUCACAUAAGUAUGAGCAUGUUCUUUAUCUUGAAGUGAUCAUUUAUUUCCACUGGAAGUCUGUGUCUCAGUGCUUUCCCUGUCCACCACAAUUCAUCACACACACGAUCCCAUGCUGCUUAUUCUGUCUUGUUGGUACCACUCUCACACUGUUUUAAUCAUGAAUUUUUUAUUUUACCUUUAAAUAUCUAAAUAUGUAGCAGCACAAGUGUCCAUCUGUAUUUUUACACGUAUGUGUAUGUACAUAUUAGUCCCAUGCAUUUAUUCUGCCAGAGGUAUUUUACUGCUAUUUUUGUGAAAUUAACAAAUCCAGAUUUUUGUUUGGAAUUACGUUUAUAGAUUAACUGGGGGGUAAUUGAAAUUUUUCCCAUUUGGGGCCAUGGUAUGUAUACCCUGUUUAUUUAAAUCCUUUAUUAUAUACCUUAGUAAGUAUAUUGUCUUCUUUACAUAGAUCCUGCACAUUUUUAAUGAUAACAUUUAUUUGUAAUUAUUUCAUAUUUUUCUUGUUAUAGUAGUUGUAAGUGCCUGAUUUGGAAAAUACUAUCAAGAAGCCAAAAAUAACUUUGGGAGGUUAUAAUUUACCAAGAAAUUGACAAAAUUUGAAAGUAACUCUCAGGGACUUUAUAAUAUUUAAAGUUUAUUUUAAAGUUCUUCAUCUUUAAAAAAAAAAAAAAACUGAUGGACUAGAAACACAUAGUUACAAAUAAACCUAGAGGGAAGGGGCUUGCUUCUGAUAGAUUUGGCAACUGGAUCAGACAAAGCGGUCCAGUUCAGAAGUGUAAGGUAACCCGUGGAUGCGCAAAUUCUGAAUGACACCAAGAGGCUUCCAGCUGUCUCUCUAAAUCCAGGUGUCUCCCCUGAUAUUUUACUUCAAGCUCCUUUUUACUUAAAUAGUUUUUACUGGCAAUAGUUCUUCAUUACACAGCUGAGUUAAAAACAAACCAGAAUAGAACACUCAAGAAAGUGUUUGCUUCCAGGCCUGCUUAAGGACCAUUCUGUAUGAUGGGCUCUGCUCCUCACUAGCUUCUUGAUCUUAACAAGCACUCCAGGUGGGCUCCUACCUGCCUGGACCAAGCAGAAACUGAAUCCCAUCUUCCAAAAGGGGAACGCUUUCCCACUCCAUGUAACAGACCUAGUCCCUUCCCAGACAUUUUACCCAAAGGAGAAGCCAGCUUCCACUUGAUCAGCCCUAAGUUGGGGUUUCCCCAGGCCAAGGUUGCAUAUGAAGAAUGGUGGAUGUUAGUCUUGGCUAUUCCCUAAAAAGACCUCUUCCUAUUCUGUGAAGAAAUCCAUAAAGAGCACUAAUGGACUAUGUAUGGAGUAAAUAGAUUUAUGGACAGGAAUCAGUUCAGGCUUACGCUAUAGGCAUUCUGCAUAGACUCUUGGUUUGGAGGGAAAUUUAAAACCGCACUGCAAUAUUAUUAUAGGACUUGGUAAAAAUCUCUGGCUGAGUAAACUGGCUUGAAUUCUGUCUCGUUGGUUACUGCUGUGGGUCUACUGUUGGAUGAAUUAUACACGUGCAUUUUCACCAUAUAGGGAUGAGAAGGAUAAUCAUUCUUUUUAUACUGAAUGAAAUUUUUGUAACGUUUAUUUUAUUAGCUUAUUAGGAAUAACCUGAUGAGAAAAUUGGCCUUUCUGGGUAAUUACUGCCAGAAAGAAUGGCAUGGAUCCAGAGUUGGCAAGCUGUGGUCUAUGGGCUAAAUCUGGCCUCCCGCCUAUUUUGGAAAUGCAGUUUUAUUGCAAUACAGCUACACUCCUAGUUUAUGUAUUGUCUGUGAUCCUUCCCUGCUAGAACAGUAGACAUGAGUAGUUGUGAGAGAGGGUGGAAGGCCUGUAAAGCCUAAAAUAUUUAAUCUCUGGCCCUUUACAAAAAGUGUUUGCCAACCCCUGGCAUAGAUCACCUUCUCGACAUUUGAAGUCAUUAUUUUUGGUUGAUAGUCCCUAAUUUUUAUCCAUUUUACACAAAAUCUCAUACAAGUUACCUUGGUCACUUUGGUUUAUCCCUGAAGGUAAUAUGACGUGGCAGUGUUCAAACCAGAAAGUCUGUGUUGAGACUUGCACUUUGCCUGGGGUGUGUAUGUGGCCAAACGUGCUCCAAAAGCUUUGCAGGCUAAAAUGGUUUUGUCCCUGCUAUGUGGGGUACAAGUGUGACACGCUCACCCACCUGAUCCCACGUGGAGUAGGUGAAAAAGAGUGGCGCUGUGGGGACAGUCUGUGGGCACAUUUUGGACUCAGGUGUGUCGUAGAAAUGAAGCAAGCACUCUUGCCAGCUUUCUUAGUUUUCAGAGGCAGACGUGAACUGCUCUCAGAUUCAUGGUCUAGUUCACACUGCAGCGUAUUUGCACUGCCCACAAUACAGUCUCCAGCUCUCUACCAUGCAAUAUUUAUCAAUAGUGUGGUUGAAAGAAACAACAUCCAGGGAGAACUAUAGGAAGGAAAUAUAGGCCGUUGACUCAUCCUGAUAUUUGAAACUAUAUCUGAACCAACGAAAUCUGCAGAGAUCAGGUAGCUCACAGCACAGGGUACCACCGCCACCAUUCGCAUUUACUGACAUUCACUCCGAUACCCUCAGUCUAUUGACGGUCAUUAUGUGAAACAGCCCUGUGAACCUCAUCAUUUAGGCUAUCUUUGUUCAUGACAUCACAUUAUCCCCUUUAGGAAAAACCCCGUGAGAAAGAAGCUUUAUUUUCAUACCAAUAGGUAUACAUCUCUUGGCUGAUGGACCCUUUUCUUCUUAUGAACACUAUAAAUUGCAUACCCGAGAAGAUCCCAUUUCUCUGGCUGGCUGUUAGAACGGCCAGAUCAAAUGUGCAGGCGGGUAAAUGACUGGGUCGUACAGUUUAGCUUAAUUCCCGCCUUUACUUUGUCCUCCACCUUUGUUUUGCUUUCUCCCCUUUUAAGUCCUCUUUUGCCUUUGUAAGGCGCUUUAAUUCCUUUGAGACAAAGUGAAAGCUAUAGGAACAACAACGAAAGUCAAACACAACAGCAACAACCAAAUCCCGCUGGCCUUCCACGUGUUAGACGUAAGAGAACCCUCCACCCCUUGUUCCAGGACUUUGCAGUGUGUUACUUUUCAAGAUGAUGAUCUAAAAACGAUACAGCCAACCCAUCUCUAACCUUUUUCCUUUUAAAAAGAAGAUUAAAAAACAAUCAGAUUAUAGCAGUAAAAACAUUCAGAAAUUAUAGAAAAACAAAUAAAAUAGAAUAAAAUUAAAACUACCUAUAAGCCCACUACCCAGAGAAUUAUCUUGUUUCUUAAAAUAUAAGAACUGAACUCAACUACGAUCCAUGAGUUCAGCCUGCCUCCUCCAGGACACUUUCUUUUAUAAUUCUGGACCAUAUUAAUCUACAGAAGGAAAAAAAAAAACUUGUCUUUCUAGAAUACUUAUUUUUUGCCACAAGUUGCCAUCUCAUGAUUUUAGGUGUUGCCAUUUCAUAAGUGAAAAGGUAGGGUCCAGUGUCUUUCUCAGGAGUUUUGGGGCCCUGUGACCAGAUGGCGUAAAUGUGACCUCAUCAUAGGUUCAAGCUAAAAGGUAUGCAUAUUCUUUUCAAAGAGUUCAAGAUUGUAGUUCUGUACAGCUCUCCACCCAGUAAAUAACUGUAUGGAGAAUACAGCAGAUAAACAUAAGCACAUUUUAAAUAAAUAUCAAAGGAUCCGUUUUCAAAGCUGACACACACGACGUUUGACCAUCAUAAUUAGUGUAAUUAGUUAGAGUCAGCCUGACACUUCAUUGGUGGCCCAACCCCAAGCUACAACUUCGACUUCUCGCUCCGGCUUCCAGCCAACGCUCGUUUCUCCUCUCUCAGGCGUAUCUAUCUCCGGAGCUCACAAGAGAGACAGCUGCCCGCUUCUGCAGUGAUCUUUCAGCAUUUUGAUUCAGCUACACUUUUAGGUGUUUUGUUAGAUUUCCUCUGCAGACUCUAUCCUCCCACAGGCAACGGGAGGACUAAAUUGCCAGAAACAAGAACAGUGAGGUGGCAGCCCUUGUGCGGCGGAGGCAAAUCCGGCCAGAGUGAGCAGGAUGCUCUUCUCCCCUCUCUAUUUUUUAAGCUCUCCAACUUCUCUGCUCAGCUCUAGGACGUGCCACACACAUGUCCAUGCCUGUUAACUCACAGGCUCUGUUGCUGGCUCCUAGAAAACUUACCAUCGGGGUUUUUUAGCUGCUCUGAGAGCGCUCAGAGUCAGUAUCCAGAAUGAGACCACUGUAAACAUCUGCUGAGAGACUGUGUUUAAACAUUGGUAAGAAGAUUCUUUAAAAAAUUCUGUUCAAGCGAAGGAUACAAAUUGUUUUAGAAGAUGGCUCUGAAAACAGGGAAUCUGAGGCAAUCUGUAAUUUCAAGGCACAUCUGGGAACUUGCUAAGGCAAAGAAGCAUCUGGAAGCCUAGAUGUAAAGUAUUAUUGCAUGCAUGCCAGCGUAGAGAGGUUCCGGUUGAAAAUACUUCAUUGGAAUGGAGAACAAAAGCGCCGUCUGAAUGAUAUGAACUAUGCCAGCAGCUAAGGAGACAGACCCUGGUUGUGAGUUUGGUGUUUUUUAAACACUCACUGUAAAAACUACAUCUCUAAGUAGACUUUCCUUCUUCAUCACUCCUCCUCUGUCUCUUCAAAGAGAAAAAAGAUAAGCUAGGAGGGAAGAGCUCAAGUCUCGCUAGUUUCUUCAUAACUACUUUCUGAAAAGCAGCCAUGACAAGAAAGAUCGGCUCAAAGUUCGUAACCAGCAACUCUCAAAUAAGCUGCAAAUAUUCUUGGAGUUAGGCUGACUUAAGCCUCAAAUCCCAGGAGGGUUUUGCCUAAGCUAAGAAUGAGGAUAAGUUGAUAUUAGGGAUUUGUGAAAAAGAUACCAAAUAAAUACUCAUUUUUAUAAAAAUCUUGCUGUAAGUAAAAAUAUAUAUUUAAUUAUUAUCCUCAAAAACUUGCUUUGUAGAGUAAUGUACUCCACUGGGUAACAUUGAUCGAGAUCAACUGUCUUAAUAAAGAAUUUAAUUUUUGUUAGUAAAUUAAAAUGGGGAAAGUUCAGGACUAUAAAUUUCUGGAGCAUGACCAGAAAAGUCUACCUUAAUCUGAAUCCAAGCUUUAAAUCCAAAGCAUCAUGUCUCAUGGUGACCCUGUACCCCAAUCUGUCAAACAAGUUAUUUAUCAGGUGGAUGUGCAGUUCUCAGGCAGACACUAUCAGAGGGUCUCUGGGACUAUCGUGGGGAAUGGAACAGACACAGAGCCUGCACUCACGGAGUUCAGGAUUUACUGGCAGAAUCAGGUAAUAAUGAGUUAACAAACAUAAAUAAUUGCUAAUGGCGAUCAGGUCUCAGAAGAUAACAACUAGACAUAAGGGAUGGAAGACAACAGAAGGUGGUGCCUAUUUAGAGUGACCAAGGAAGGCGGGCUUCUCUGAGGAAGUGACAUUUAUGCAGAAAUCUUAAGGAUAAGAGGGGCCAGCCAUGCAAAUGGACAUGGGUGAGGAGGAGGAGAGCAUGAGAAGGAAGAAUGUGUGUGUGCAUGUGUGUGAGUGCAAAGGCCCUGGGGUAGGAAAGAGUUAGGCUAAGUUGAGCACAUGCAUAGUUAAGAAACUGAAAUGACCAGUGUGCCUAGAGCAGAGAGGCUGAGAUAAGCUUGAAGGAGCAGAAUCAGUCAGGACUCUGGGCCGGUAAGAAGGCAGCUGCAAUAGUCUAGCUGGGAAAAGAUGGUGAUUGGUACUAAAGAAGUAGUGGGCAUGUUGAGAAGCAGACAGAUCCCAGACAUAAUUUUGAAGGAAGAACUGUCAGGAUUUCCUAAUGCAUUAUAUAUAUGGAGGAUGAGGAAAUGAGAGAAAUUAGGGAUGCUACUCAGAGUUGAACGACUCAACCUUUGCUGAGAUGGAGGAGAAUGUUGGAUGCACAGUUUGAGGGGGAGGGAAAGUCAAGAAUUCCUUGUUUCACACAUUAAGGGUGAGAUGCCCGUGAAACACUGAGAUGGUGAUGUCAAGCAGGCACUGAAGUGUGCAAGGCUGGAGUUCAGAGAGAGAUUGGGACUAGAGAUGUAAUUCAGAGAGUCAUUGGCAUGUAGAUUGUAUUUAAAACGAUGAGAGGAGACAAGUUCCACUAGAAAAAGAACAGUGUAAACACAGAGAGGAGAGAGAGGGUCCACGAGAGACCUCAGGAAGCCUUAAACCCACAGCCUGAACCCAGGGGCCUGAGAAUGAGGGGGCAGUCAGGAGGGAGAAACAGGAGAGUGUGGUGUCAUGGAAACCAGGAGAGUGGAGCAUCACAGGAAGACAGCUGAGCCUUCAGCGAGGCUAAGUGAGGGGAGGAAGGGAAGGUGUUUACUGGAUUUGUAAACAUGCAUGUCAAGGUGACCUUGGCCAGAGCAGGGUUGAUGGAGCGGGGGAAGCAGAACCCAGCGCGGUUGUGGGUUGAAGAACAAACGGGAGGCUAGUGUGGGGACAGCAGGUAUGUACAGCUAUUAGUAUAUUAUUUUUAACUGUGGUAAAUACACAUGACAUAAAAUUUACCAUCCUAACAAUUUUUAAGUGUACAGUUCAGUGGCAACCACCUUUCUACUUUCUGUCUCCAUAAUGUAGAGUGGGAUCCUACAGUAUUUGGCCUUUCGUGACUGGCUUAUUUCAUUCAGCAUAGCGUCCUCAAGGCUCAUCCAUGCUGCAGCACUUGUCAAAUUUCAUUCCUAUACAUUGCAUGGAUACACCGCAUUUUGUUCAUCCAUUCUUCCGUCAAUAGACACUUGGUUUGCUUCCACCCCUUGGCUGCUCUGAACCCUGCUGCUGUGACCAUGGGUGUGCACAGACAGCUCUUUUGAGUUGAGUAACCAGGUGAGAGCUGGAAGGGAUGUGGAGGCAAGGGGCGGGUUGGUUUUUGUUUUUGUGUUGUGUUCUGCCCCAAGCUGAGAGAAGCUAGAGCAUUUUUGUAUGCCACCUGCAGAAGGAGAGGCAAAUGCUGAGCAGAAAGAAGGACACCAGGAGGCAUGAGGGGGGAGGCCAGGCUCUAUAGCUGCACGUGGGGAAGCUGGCCUGACAGGGGCGCACGCUGCCUCUGCUGAAGAGAUGGGAGAAGACUUGGCUUCAGAUGCAAAUCCUGUAGGGGCUUUGGUGGUGGGAGGAUAAGGAAGUUUCCUUCAAAUGGCUCGAGUUUUCUCCAUGAAGUGUGGAGCAAGUUCAUGAGCUGAGAGUUGAAAGAAGGGAGGGGAGGAGGUUUGGAGGAGACAGAAGGGAUGAAACGAUCAUCUUAAAGGAAUGUUUCUAGUAGAAUCACUUGCAGAACUUUCCAAAUAUUCUCAUAGCUGCUCCCUCCUCCACAUUGCGCCUGGGAUUUAAGUGGUCUUGGGUGGGUCCUGGGCCUCUACAAUUUAACUGUAGUUUAGUUAAAAACUGUAUAGUUUUAAACUACAGUUUAGUUGACAGUAGCUAUAACUAACUAUAAAGUUAGUUAUAAACUCCUUAGACGAUUCUAAUGUGCCACAUGGGUUGUGAAUGAUUGUCUCAGAGUGGGAAAGCAGGCUUGUUAGAGAAAAAUAAUAGGAUUACUGGGAAUGCGGAACCCCAAUCUGAGAUUUAUAAUCAUAAAUUUCAAGUGAAAUGAGCUUGUACAGGUUUCAGAGUGUGGAUGUGUGUGUGUGUGUGUUUCCUGGCUCAACAUGUUGAAGUCCAGCAGAUUUUUGUCAUCAGCCUUUUUCUUUUUAAACUUAAUCACGUAAGCGCCCAUCUAUUUCUCAUCACUGACUUCUGUCGAUAAUAGGAACAGCUAAUGUCACCAUGUGCCAAGCGCUGUUCUAAGCAUCUCCUGUCCAUUAAUUUUUUCAGUCCUCACAAUAUCAACAUCUCCAUUUUACAAAGAAGCAAAUGAGGCACAAAAACAAGAUCAGGCAGUUGCCAAUAUUCACAUAGUUAAUGUGUAAGAACGGUGGGAGCUGAGACCAGGAAAUCUAGACCCGGAGUCUGUGCUCUUGACCAUGGGACCACACCACCUCUGUGUGCACAAUCUAAAAUAUGUACCCCCAGCCCUGCCCUUCCUACCACGUGAAACAGACAAUGGAAUUGACAAGAAUGCAAUUGUCGGGGGACACUUCACAGGGUUGGAAGAAAUCCUUCGAUAAACCCUCUGGCAAGGAGGAGACCCCACAGAGGGCAUGAGAGUGGUGAUCAAUGGUGGUGGGCCCUGCUGAUGCUGGGGUGGGGUGAGCAAGUAGUGAGGUGAGCCUGGAAUGCAAGCCUGAGGGCAGAGCUGAAAUUCUUCACCUGCUAGAGGAGAGGGGUGCACAGGAGGGGUGGUGUGACCCAGGGGAACUUUGGCAAACAGAUAUGACUGAGGCCGACAUUGAAACCCUACCCUGCAUGUUCCCCACGAAAUCAUCUGCUACUCUUACAUUGCCCACCACUGAUGUCGUUAGUGUUAGUGGAUUAUUUUGGGGGAAGGUGACCAGGUGCUGAGGUCUAUGGCAAGACUGUGUGGGUGGAAAGCAGACUAAAGAGAGGGGCAGUUGCAUCUGGGUUAUAUCACUAGAGCGCAGGCUACAUUUUGGAUGGUCUCCUGGACACUUACACCAUUAAGCUCAUUAAAUGCAGAAUUACCUCCCUAAUGCCCCAAGCCAGUUUCUCUUUCUGGCUUCCAGACUCUUGCCAGUGGUAGCAGAUUCCCCAACUUCAAAGACUGGAAAUCUCAGCACCAUCUUUGAGCACAGAACCUGUACCAAAAUGUAUUGAGUUUGGGUGGAUCUUGGCGUAGCAAUAGAGGAACAUUGGAGAUUUUUUUAUCAACAUGUCUGAAAGUUUGGAAUGAGCAUCAGACAAAGACUUUUUUAGACAUCCCUAUGGAGACUAUCCUCAGCUGAGAACAGUCCCACUGGCUCCUUUCCUAAGCCAUUUAUCUAACAAGCGUGGGCAGGUACCAGUAACCGCCAUUUUGAUGGAUUUAGCGGUGGGGUGCUAAAGCCACCUCCCACUAGCUCCCCUGAGCAGAUUUUCAGACAUUCAGGAAUUUUGCAAGUUGGUCGUAAAACCAUGGGUAGUUUGAAAUCAGCCAUGGCGGGAAUAUUUACACCCCAGAAAUCAGCAAACACUGUAAAUUGGGGGUACUCCCCCAGCUAGUUCCCGCUCCAGCCAGUUUACCAGCACAUCGCUGACUUAGUGCCCGCUGGUUGUGAUAAGGUGCUGUUAGGUUCGUUGGGAUCCCCGUCCUUAUUCCGCCUCUGUGAAUGAGCUGGAGGAGGUUAAGUGUGUUGUCAAGCAUCACUUGGCUGGUGAGUAGCAGCACUGGAAUUGGAACCUAGUGUCUUAAACUGAAGGUCUGAAGAGAGAGUGGAAUUAGACCCUGAGGUAUUAUUACAAGGAGUCGAUUUGACAUCUGCCACCAAUGUCUGGAAGAUAUUGCCUGGGAAGAUAGUUCCUGAGCUUUCUGUCAGACAUUCCUACAGGAGAAGUAGAGAUUUCACUUCUGAGGCAAUGUGAUGCUUGAGGAAGCACUCCGGUGUUCAGCUUAUAAAAAGAUUCCUAAUUAUCUGCAUGCAACCCUGGAGGGAAUGAUGGAGACUUUGAGCAUUUUCAUGCUAAUGACUGGGAUGAUGUCAUAACAUUUAAAAAUCUGUAUUUGGAGAGACUCCCUGGCGCUCCGCUGAGGUCUCUCUGUUGGAACUUUGUUUUGCAUGAAGAUGAGAAAGAGAGGGAGGCUCCUCAAGAUUAGGCAGAGAGCUCUGGGUAGGGGAGGUGUCAGAGCACACAGCCAGAGCAGAAGUCUGCAUCCUGAAGAAUUUGAAGGAAACAAUGGUCUUCCUCACUUCUCACGAGCUCUCUCUUAGGGAAAUGAAGUGGAUGCUGCCGGGGCCCCUUUGUUGAGCUGGUGCACCUACCCCAGUUCUUGGGAAGAUCGCCUUGGUCAGAAUCCGAGCCACUGUACUAGGGAAGUGUUGGGGUGAGGGCAGCCUUCAGCCAAUGUCUGAUGGCGAAGGGGUACACAAGGACAGUCCGUAUGCCUCGAGGGAUGAGCAACACUGCACUUUGUGCUCCAGGGCGCUCCACGGUCUCCGUGGGGCCAGUCUCCAGCUGAGCCCACAUCCUUGCCAGCUUUCUUCCCCUGCCCUGCCCUCCUUUUUCACACCCUUUCUCCUGAGACAACUCCCUCAAUAAAACACUUCCCCAAGAAUCCCAUUUCAGACUGUUUCUAAGGAACCUGACAUAAGAUGGGAGAUUUCCCUAUUCUGAGGAUCCAAGAAAUAUACGAAGUCUUAGUGGUUACUUGGAGCAUCUUCUAGGGUCUCCUGGUGAUGUCACUUCCUCCUUCCCCAUGACUCAGAGAAAGAUUUAGGGGAGUUCUGGGUCCUCCUGGUUCCCUGGCAGGGACAGCAUCACCGGCUCUGGUCUCGGAAGGGGCUGUGCAGAGCUCUCUGUGCCACUUUGCAGCGCCCUGUGCUCCUCACAAGAUGACCUCCUGGCUCCCACAACACCCCCUCAAAGCAACAGGGAGAGCCAAGGAUGUGGGUGCAUGCUGUUCACUUGGGGAAUGAUCUCGGAAUUCAGGAAAGAAAACAAGCCUUAUAUUUAAGGGUGUGCAACUGAGGCUGCUGCUAUGUGCAACAGGACAUGUGCUACGUGCAGGGGACUUCAGGGAGAUGUUAUUUUUAUUCCCACCUGAGGGAAGGGCAGCUGGAGCACUAAUGCACUGGCUCCCAUCCCACACUAGCUGAGAGUUACCCCAGGUGUGUUAACUCCCUUGCAUUUCUGGGUUUCUCCUGAAUGAGGCAAGGCCUUUGAGUACAAAGUUGUGCAUAAGAGGGGAUGCUGUCCUGGUGAGGGACUCUCAGGUUGCAUGGAACUGUGCCUGGCAGUAGAGGCUGAAAGCAGUCACCCACCUCAUCAUUUCAAAGUGUCUUAAAGCAAUUCCCAAAAGGAGGACAUCAUUAGAGCUGGUUACUCACUUUCCUUAAAAAACGGUAAGCCUAGUACCUUCAUGCCUCGGAACUGUGUUAUCUCAGACACCACCAGAAGCCCAAGUCUUAUGCCCGAUGCCUGACACAUAGGAAGUUCUUAACAUGCAAGUAUUCAACACAGGGGAAAUAAAACAGAAUAUGAAACUUUAAAUCAGGCCGUUAAGCGUGAGUCAAAUCUCUUUAAAAAGACAAAUGACUGAUGGAACAGCAAGACCAGACAGUGCCGUGCCUGAAGCUGUGGUCACAGCUAAGGCAGGACAGGGCUGACCACAAGGAGGUCGGGGUGCCGGUCAGCCACAAAGCACAGAACCCAAACUGGCUGUGCCCACCCAGGCGCCGUCCAGGGGAGAGGGCGGGAAACAGGGGCAGCAGGGCCUGAUGCUGGCAAACUUUCAAAUCCUGCAACCUACUCCCCUCAUUCUGCCCUCCCGCUCCUCCAGCACCCCUCUGAGAUGGUCAGCUGCUUCUGUGGCUUGCCUGAGGGAUAAAUUGUACUGGAGAGUCCAGCAAUUGUCUGGUCUGCCUGACAGUUCUAUUUCUCAUCACAAAUAAAGAAGUUGGCCUCUGGUUUAUAUAGUCAGGUCUCCUGUGAGUUUAGUCACUAUGAGUCAGCCUGUUCGGGAUCAGCUCCUGGGCACUAAUGAGAUGGAGCUUCUGGAGGGGGAAGAUGGACUCUCAGCUCUAGCAUGGAGUAAAUUCUCUGGAGUAGAUGCCACACCAGGAGGGCACUUGGGGUCAGCUAGCUGGCAUCCUUGCAUGGACCUCCCCUACAUAUUUCUCCACUUGUUUAGUGGAGAGGCAGAAGAAGAGCAGGCUAAGGGAGGUCAGUAAUGAGGUCUUGGUAGAUCACGCCACGGAGGAUGGGAGAGAAUUUACGUAAGUCAGCUUACAGGAUCUGUUACCCAGAGAUGUGGUAUAGGUUGAAAACGAAGAGAUUCAAGAAGCAAUUUGCUCAUUUAAAAGUUAUAUCUUUUUACAUUAAUGGGAGAAGAAAUACAAGAAGAGUCCUUGGUACAUAGUAGCUGAUUAAUUGUUUGUUAAAUGAAUAAACUAUAAUUGGUCAAGGAACAUGUGAAAAAAUAUCCAGCCUCAGUGAUCAGAGAAAUGCCUAUUAAAACAGUAAUGAAAUAUCACUUUCCCCCUCUUAGAUUAACAAAGUUAAGAGAAAAACAUAUAAUAUAAAUGAAGAAAAUAAUACAUGCUCCUUGGGAAAGGGAAAGUAAAUAGGUAUUCUUAUAAUUACUCCAAAAUUUCUGGAACUAAAUCCAGUAAUAUGCAUCAAAAAUCUUAAAGAAAUAUAUAGACCAUUUUGCCCAGCCAUUUCAUUAAUAGGAACGGACUCUAAGAAAAUAAUUGAGCGAGUUCACUGCAAAAUUGUUGAUAAUUGCAAAAAAUUGGAAACCACCUCAGUGUCCAACAGUAGCAGAAUUAGUUGAAUAAAAUCCCCAGCCAUGGAAUACUGCUCAGUCUUUACAACUCAAAUGUAGAGAAUGACCAAAUUUAUACCUGUUAAGUGAAGAAAGCAGGUUGGAAACAGUAAAACAGAAUAUGACUCUCUCUUUUAAUUAUAUGAACUAUUUGCUUGUAAACAAUCCAGAAGGAUAUGUAAUAAAAGGUUAUCUUUGAGCAGUAGGAUUAUUGGCAUUUUUAUUUGCUUUCUUGACUAAUUCAUAUUUCCUAAUUUGUCUAUAAUCUAGUUAGAGUGUUGCAAUAAUAAAUAGGUACUUAUACUUAAAAAAUAAAGUGAAUUAAAUGUUGCCAAUUUCCAAAUGGACUGGAUUUGACUUAGGAGGUGUAAACACAGAGUUACAAAGUUAUCCUGUACAUGUAAGGUUAACUGAGAACAGAACUCACGAUAGAAAGUGGAAGAAUGAGCUGUUACUGGGUGUGUGAGGUGAUUACUGUAAGGGGUGCUGCACUUAUGAAUGAGUAUCCUGCUAGGUAGGGCAAAAAAGAACAGAGCAGGUGAGACUGUUUUUUGCUUGAAAGGGAAGGCAAACAGAUUCAUCUGAGGGGCACAUUCCUCCAGGCGCAAAGAUGAGACAGGAUAUAUUAUGUAUUAGUGCCAGUAGAUAAUGUAGUUAUUCUUUGUUAAAUAGAGUGUCAAUCCCUCAUUCAAGAAGGUAAUUUUGAAUAGAACUUUCCUUAAAAACAGAGGUUGCAACAUUAAAUUGUACUUUGAAAUCACUGAGUGUUCAAAUUGGAUGGAAGUAACCUUGGGGAUCAAACUCAUUUACAGAUGAAGAAACUGAGGGUCAGACUGGUGAAGUAAUUUGCUCAGUGAGCGGGAAAAGUGGGACUAGAAUCCAUAUCUCUUGAUUCCUGGCCCAGUGCCCUUUGUACCACACCCCAAAGUCUUCAUCCUCCAUGCCUCUGGCUUAUUUGUGCAUUCAGAACUGGACAGGCUGUUGCCAGCCAUGUGUCAGUUGUGUCUGACUGACCCAUCCUCUGAUUAGGGUCUUCUCUGAAGCAGGAAUCUCGUCUAUCCACCACACCAGCUGCACAGCGCUCUGCACACAGAAGGCACUCGGGCUUACUGAUUUGCGAUCAAUGAGGGGAUCGUGCGCAAGAUGAGAGUUUCAUAAUACGAUAAUUUCGUUUUAUUAUAACCUAAUUUUCUAUAGCUUUGAAAGGUUAGACAACAUUAAGGGUUGAUACUAAUAAGCACGACCGUACUAAGUGAACAUUUACUGAGCACUUGCUGCGCACCAGACAGGCUUCUGAGCACUGCUCAUAUAUCAUCUCAUUUCACCUAUGACAUGGGUGCUCUUCCUACCUCCAUUUAACAGAUAAGAACGCUCAGGCACAGAGCAGGAAAUGAAUUUGUCUGAGGCACCAUGUCUAGAAGAUGACAGAACUGAGGCAUCAACCCAGGCGGAAUGUUCUAGAAUUCGAUCCUUAGCUACCACCUACAUUGACUCUCCAGGAAUAACAAGAAUGAUAAUGCCUACCAUGUGGUGAGCCAUUUGCACGAGCUGGGGCCUGAGCUUGGUUAAUUCUAAUAUACUGGUUGGUAGACAGUACUGUCUGCAUUUGAUUCAGGGCCUGAUGUAAGUUAUUUACCCCAACCCAAGACAGCUGAUAAGUGAUGAAACGUGGAUUGAAACCCACGUCUCUUAAAUGUCUGUGUUGUUUCUACUCUAUCCUAUAGGAAAUAAGAGCCCCACAAUAGGGCACAUUUGGAACCUCUGCAUAGAAACCAGGCCGAGCAAGGAUUUUACUCACCUCCUGGAUUGAUCCCCAGAUUUGUGGCUUAAAAACUACCUAGACAGUUACAGGCUAUGGGAAUGCUUUCCCCAUUGUGGGCCAACCCCAUCACUAGGCAAGGUCGACUGGGUGGCUGUUUCUGCAUUUUGAAACUUGGAAAAAUUCUUGCCCAACCCAGGAAGGCCUUCAGUUGAAGCAAGAAUAGAGGCUAAUAGAGGCUUCUUCCCCCAACCAGGACUCAACAACCACUCAGGCACUCCAUUUAGUGGGUGGACAGGCGAGCAUAUGGUGUCCCAGUGGGGGAUCAUGGGCCCUUUGGUGGGGGUAGGCGUCAGAGUAGGCUUCCUGGAGGAACUGCCGUCUAAUCUGUGAUAUCAAGAAAGAAUCAAAGGAGUGAGCUUUGGGAAAGGAGGCCGUGAGUGAAGUGGCUGAGGGACAGGGCUCCCCAGGUUAGGAAGGUGCCAGGUCACUCGUGUCCCUUGAUGGCUCAACCCUGUGCAAAGCUGCAGGCAGGAAGUGUAUGCUUCCCUCCCAGUUUCUCUUUUAUGUGCCUUUUGCUCCUUGCAUGAUCCCCUUCUCUCCUCUCCCAUCUCCCACAUCCAGUCUGCCCCUUCCUUCAUGGACUCCUGCUUUCAAAGCUUCUCUUCUCCAAGAUGUAAGUGAUCAAUAAGACCCCACAUGUUCUGCCACCCAUGGCGAUGUGCACAAAGCAUCCCUUGGACCAUCAGGAAGCUGUGCGUCCUCUCUCCUCAUCCUGGCUUCUGCCUGCUGCCACUCUAGCUUUCUCUUCCCAACCCCAGAGUGGGACACCCGCCCAACUUACCCCGCUCCCUCUGGUGAAAGUCCAGCCUUGUGCUUCUCAUUGUUGUAGGAGUUAAGUUGCUUGCUCUGGUCUCUGUGGAGGCAGUUUGGAUGGUCUAAAGGGGAGGGAGUUUCCGGGCCAGGCAGCAGUUGCCAAAGGUGGGAGUGAGGACAUCUCUGCCUAUCCAGGAGACAGUUCUCUGCAGUUGUGGAAAGGCACUGUCCUGGUUUACACCCCAAGAAGUGAGAUAGCCUUGGGCAUCUGCAAGCUCUCUGAAGCUCCAUUUGCUGAUGGCCUCACAUAACUGUGGUGAGCCUCUACUGAGAUGAGGGUGGUUGAAAGUGCUUUGUGGACGGUAAAGCCCUGUGCAGGUAUGACUAUGUGUGAUGCUGUAGUGGACUAUGGGUGUGUGCUUUUGGAGUGAAUUCACCCAGACUGGGUGCCUCACCUCAGGAUUGCUAAUGGGCUUGGGGGUAAAGCCUGAGGAGGGGCUCUCCUAGCAGUGGGUAAGCCACUUCUGCCCAUGCUCAGUCUGUAUAAUCCUCCAGCCAGAUAAUCGGGCCUUCAACCCUACUUACACCUGGAUUAUCUGAGAGGCUAUGGUUGUGUAGGCAUGGAGUCUGAAUUUCUUUUGCCUGCCCAUCCUUUGAGAGUCAAUCCAUGCUUUAUUCAGUCAAACCUUCCUGGGAGGGUUUUAAGAUGGCAUUAUUAUCCCUUUUGGGUACAAAAUCUUGUCCUCAAUGCUCUUUAUUCCUAUAAAUGAGAAUGAUUGAUUUAGACUCUUUUAAUGUAAUCCUCAGACAAAUGAGUGCUUCAUUGAAACUUAAUAUGAUCACCUGGAAAGGAAAUUCCCCUCCUGAGAGACAAGGAGCCAGACAGACUAUAGGAGAGACAUCCUCUGAAGGCAUGUGGGAAAAGCUCUCUCUCUCUUCCUCAUUCCCUCCCACUUGGGGGUGUGUAUGGAGGGGAGAGAGCAGUAGGAAGAAUAGGAGGGAUGGAGUCAGUAUGUGGUGUGUGUUGAAGAUGCUCAAAGUUAGGGAGGAACGAGGCUGGAUGAGCUCAAGAGCUUCCAUUCUUCAUCCAGUUCCUCAGGCCAAAAACCUGGAGUUAUUCUUGACUCUUCUCUUUCCUUCACACCUCACAUCCAAUUUUCAAAGUGUUGGCUCUAAGUAUAAAACAUGCCCAUUUUGGGAGGGUCAGAAUCCUCAUAUGGCUUCUCCUUGUGCUCAGAAUAACAUCCACACUCUCUACCAUGGCUUGCAACAUCCAAUCUCUUUUAGCCUCUGUCUUCCUCUCUGAACCACCUCCUUUCUUCCUCAUACCAAACAAGCCAAAUAAGCUCCAUCUUUGUUAUUCAAACAUGGCAAGCUCCGUCCUACCUCAAAGCAUUUAUCCAUGGUGUUCCUCUGCCUGCUGUUCUCAAGGCUGAUUCUUCCCUGUCAUUUAGAUCUAAGUGCACAUUUUUCUUCCUCAGGAGGGUUUCUCUGACUCCCUAUCUAAAGUGUGUGCCAUAUCACUCUUUUGAAUCCUAUUGCCUUAUGACCCUUAUCACAACUUGCAUCUGUCUUAUUCAUGUGCUUGGUCAUUGGCUCUCUCCCCUACUAGAGGAUAAGUCCUUUGAGUGAAGGGACUGUAUUUGUCUUUGUCAAUGCUUGUAUCACCAGUACCUUAAAGAGUGACUGGUACAUAGUAGGUAAUGCAAUAAAUAUUUGCUGGAUGAAUAAAAAGGAAGCCACAAGAGUGCAAGCCAAGGAGAGAAGCAGCGAAGAAACUGGCCCUCUGAAUGCUGUGUCUGCCAUCUUGUAUGUAGCACCUACCUAUGGAUACCACCUAUGGGGACAUGACCAAGGAGCAGUGGCAGAGUAGACAUAGGGAUGCCCAUAUGGACUGGCUCAACCACUGUUGGACUUGAGGACUUGUCCACAAGUUCCUAGGCCUGAGAGAUCUUCAGGUCUAAAUCCUGUCUUUCUUAAAAUAUGUGAGAAAUGAGCCUCAGAGAGCUUCAGGCACUUGCCCAAAGUCACACAACUAGUAUACCUCAGAGCAAGAAUUAGAAUCAGACCUUGGCUUCCAGUCCAAUGUUUUCUCACUGUACCUUGCUGCCCCCAGUGCCUUGGGAUACAGAAGAAUGAAGCUGCUUUGGCAGAAGGCUUAGAGAAGGUCCCCAGUGCGUCCAAAGUUAGUUGCCUGGAUGAUGGAAGCAUAGGCAACUGACUAGUGGUUGGCACUGGGAUCCUUGGGCUGACUCAUUCCCUUUGGCCUCAUGUCUCCCUUGUGUGGGAGGGUGACAUGUGUAUCAGUGCUUGCAAGUCACAACUAAGUGGAAUUUGAGCAGAUAUUUCAAGAGGAAAUACAAAAAGAAUGAAAACUUUAUGAGUUUGGAGGGGGUACUGAAGAUCAGAAAUUAAGGAAUCGUUGUUUUAAAGAAGAGAUAUACUUUUAAGUUAGAGGCAAGAGACAAUGUUAGAGGCAAGAUCAUAAUGUUGAAGCUGGGGGGUGUUGGAGGGGCAGCAGGCAGAUUUUCACUGGGCUCAUUUGCUCUAAAUGCUCUUUUCAAGUAAUAAACUUGGAGAGGUGGUCAAGCCUCUUCUGUACUGCAAGAGAGAGUAUCAUGUCUCAGGGAUCUAGGGAAAGAGGGAAGGGGAGGCCACAUCUGUUUAAAAACAAGUAGAAAAGUAAGGGAAUGGGUUACUUUUCCCAGCAGGUGGGAAACAUAGGGUAUCUCUUAAUUCAAGAGGCAGUGCAGACUGAAAUAGACCUGGUGGUUCAAGAAGGAUGGAGAGAGAUGCCUGGAGAAGAGACCCCUGUGCAGAAGGCAGAGGUGGUGGUGCACUGCUCUGCUCCAUACAUCACCACGGCCGAGAAAGCCUAGGCUUGCCAUGAGUGGGAGGUCUUAUGUGUUAUUUGCAAGGAAAAGGCAGAUAUUCUGUUCCCCAGGGUGCCUGUCCAAUUCACUUUACUUCAAGAAUAAAAUAAUAAUAAUAAUAAUAGAAAAAGUUGUAUUUAUUGAGCAAUUUAUACUGCAGGGUGCUUUAUACACAUUAGUUUAUCAAAUAUUCAUGAGAUACUGGUGGGACAGGUAUAAUUAUUUUCCUCAUUUUACAGAUUAAGAAACUGAGGCUGAGAAAGGCUAAGUAACUCACCGAAGAUGCAGAAGUGAUGAAUGGCAGAGCCAAGACUUGAACCCUCACUCUGCACCAUUAGGCUACGUGGCUUCAACAUGCCUAGGCUCUAAGAUCCUCUCUUCAGGGGCAGGCAGUCUUGACACUGCCUCCCUUUUCCCCUGGUGCCCAUCCUUGAGUCAGUGUGAUGCUGCCUCCUACUCCCUCCCCAACAGACUGCCCGGGUGCUGUCCUAGGUUCUGAACUUUGUUUUAUAAAACUUGAAGUGCAUAGGAAGAAGGGUCUGUCUGCACUACUGAUUCUAAUUUUAAGCUCUUUUAUAAAAGCUCACAGCACAUCAUGGUGUCACACUCUGAAUGGCAUCGGGUCACUAUUUUUUCAGAUAGUAGCAAGUCCAGAAGCUCCCAGAUGAGCAUCCCACUCCCACUUAGUGCUCCACUGGGGCUGAGAAUGAUCCCAAGGGACCAGUUGGGUGCAACUACCAGACCUCAUCAUAAUAGCAUGAGUCAAUACAUAAAUUAACUUUGAAGAGCUCAAUCCUAUCUACAUUCUCAUGUGAUUGAUUAUAACUGAUGGGUUUUGGGGGACUGGGGCAAAUAAGGACAAUGUCUCUAUUUUCCAAAGGGGAAAAGAGACCAUGACCAAAGGAUUUGCCUAAUGCUAAACUCCUUAUGUGUGGUACCUAGAUCUCUCUACUAAAUUAAGACUCUUUCUGCUAUUCUAUAUCAUCUCCCCAAAGUGAUGACAGACAGGAAUCAAGGAAGGGGAGGAAAGAGAGAGUAAGAAGGAGGGAAGAGAGAUGGAAAGAAACAAAGGGAGAAGAGGUGCAGGGAGGCCAGAAGUAAAAGGAAAAGAGGUGUAGAUGUUUUCGGAUAAGGGAACAGGAUGCUCUUAUCACUUCCUCAAGUGUCACUCAGAGAAUGGGUUUUCUUCAGUUUCAUGAAUAUCAAUGUCUCAUUCAAGGGCACAAUCUCCUGGAUAUGCUUUGUUCCCUAUCUCCUGUUUCAGUGGAAAUCUACGUUAAGAAUGACCAAGUGUCAUACCACAACUGCAGAUUAAGAAUCAAGUUCUUCCCAGUUCUACCAUCCCCCAAUCCCCACGAAUACUCCCUACCCUUUCACGUCUCAUAACACUGUCUUCUUUGCCUAUAAUAUCUUUUAAGCAACUGGCCCUUGGUCAUGAAGCAGUUGAGAGGGCCACUAUUCUUCCCUGAGUCCAUCUCCAACCAAACCUCUUCCAGGAAGCUUUCCCAGAUCCUUGUACAUGGAAAACUUUUCUCCUUCUUGGAAUUCUCCAUUAUCCUUAGAUUGCACUGCUAUUCCAACACUUAUCAUGGACUCUCUUGUGCUAUUAUAAUAUGUAUCUGUGUCUUCUCCAUUUGAUUUUGCAUCAUCUUUGGAAGGCAAAGUCUUUAUCCUAUUGUUUUUUGGUCUCCUGCCUCCCAAGCAUACUGGUCACCAAGCACACUGAUUCACAAAGAAAGUAUUCAAUAUUGUUUAAAUGAAUAGCAUUUUUUACUUGAAAACAUUUCUAGGACAUAUGUAGGACUUAAUUUUACAGAGAUGACAAUGCCAUAAAAGAAUCCAGUUAUCUUAUCUGAUUCACAGUCCUGUCUUUGUUUAUUCCAUUGAAUUUCCAUCCACUCCAAGGCUCUGGGAAGCCCCAUGAGCUUGAGAGUCAUUGACCUGAGUCUGCAUGAAGCAGAAGACUGGUUCCCAGGGCAGUGUUGCCAUUGUACUCUAGACUAUGUCUAAGGUGGCCAGCUCCGAGAAAGCUAGUGUAGGAAGGUCUUAGGAGAGAACUAAGAGGCACUCUUGAGUGUUCCUACACUAAAGCAUGUGUCUGGAGUCUAUGGAGUUACAUUCUACUCCAUAUCUAUCUUUACAAGGCCAGCAGUCAGGGAGAUUUCCAUUUUUGGAGCCCAUACAUGAACCUGGCAAUGUUCAAGAGGGAUCCUCUUGGCAAGAACUUCUCCAAAGGACUGUCGUGUGUGAGAUCCUGGGACAUAAGCCACACUUCUACUUUCUUUUUAGAGGAGAUAUAACAAUUGUAAACUCCUUUGUGGAGGAGAAAAGAGAGAGGCGGAGUUGCCUGGACUUUCUGAAAGUGCUGGAACUUUUCUCCCAACAACACAAAAAGACAAGGUUCUGGUCAGAUAUUUACAGCCCCUGAACAUGGAGGUUUGCUAAAGCAUCUCAGUCCCAGAAAAGUCAGAGAUUUGGAAGUCCAGUCUCAGGAAUCCCAGAUGGGCACUGGCUAGUGAGGACAAGGAGAGUUUGAAGGCAAUGUUAGACACAUAUUGAUUGAACAUCUUCAUAAAAGCCUAUGUAUUUUUUGGGACACAAGACCUGGGUUUACCUUUUCUUUGGGGUCUUCUGGACCCUGCCGAGGACCAAUGGUAUCACAUUCUGAGACCAGCAGCUCCUUUUCAAUCCAAGUAUCUCCAGGUCCCUAGAAUUUGUCUCCUUUCCAUGAGAGGUGUGAGGGAGGGUGUGUCCCUCCCCUAAUUGCAUCAGGGUAUAUUUGUGGCAUCCCUGCUGACUUUCAUGCUGAGGCUCCAGGUCACUAGAAGCUAGAAGUUCCCCGGAUUGGGGUGUAACCAUGGAUUCUCCUCUCUCUCUUUUUGCAACACCAUCCUCCUUUUCUACAUGGGCUCAUCCAUGUGAUUUGAGAGACAGUUUCCUUCUCCAUGCCUUCAAAUCUCUGGCCAAAGCCAGGGAUGCUGGCUUCACUUCUUAACAACAGGACCAUGUCAAUACCUGGGGACAAAUCUCUCCCAAAUGGGUUAAGUUCCUCAUGCUUCUAUGAUCAGGACAGAGAGGGCAGGCUAGGAGGGAUGGACAGCCUUCUCCUUAUGAUGAAAUUUUCUCAAGGUGAUGAAAAUUCUCAAGGUGAAAUUCUGCAGAGUGCUUUAAAAAUUCUACCAAAGACUGGAGGCCACGGAGCUUCCACUGAUACCGGGAGACUCAGUCUGCUAAUAGCUGCCUCAUUUCUGCUCUGCACUUUGAGAUUUCAUGCAGAACACUCUGGAUUGCAAUGCUUCACCUGCAAGGCCUGUGAAAUCAGCCUUCCCUCUUGCCCUUCAUAUGUGAGCCCCUUCUUACCUGCCUCCCUUCAGCAGAGGGCCAAGAGGCUCAGGGACACUUCCAAGGUCAUUGAGGAGUCAUUUUAUCCAAUCCAUUGCCUUUCCAUAAUAACUCAUGCAUCCAUCCCAGAUAAGUGAGCAUCUCCCCUAGGUUUAAAAAUCGCCAGAAGGCGUUGUGUUCUUUUGGUUCUGUUUUUAUUACAUUGUGAACAUUGGUACAAGGUUAAAUACACACAGAGACAGACAUCAGAAGGCUGCAGAGAGCAUACACAGUAACAUACUUGUACACAGAGAAGGAGUACAGAGAGACUGACAGAGCACACAAAUACACAUAGAAUACAGAUAACAGCUACAGGAGUGUUGGCUCCAUCUGGUAUACAUUCCUACACAAAACAGAGCAUAGGAUACAGACAGCGAUGUCAGUUGAUAAACAUCAUCAAUUAAAAUCCAGCCAUUGGGUUACAUAUGACAACAACAACAAUAUACAAAGCCUUAUUACAUCUCCAAGGGGCAAAAGGUCUAGGAAACCUCAAAGAGCUUUUGGGAAUUGUCUCAGAGGCUAGGCUCUGAGGGGAGGAAUGAAACAAGCAGACCACAAAGAUAACCAGGGGAGGAGACCUGACUGUCAGGCUGAGAAGUGGGAACAAUGGAGGCAAGUCAGUGGGGACAUGGGGCCACAUUCUUCAAGAACCUCAGGGACAUCAAGAAGAUCAAAGGCCCCUGUCUGUCCAGACCCUCAGCCCCAGCCCCACCUCCACUCUCCAGCCCUGCUGGAAAAGUCCAGGGAUUGAUAAUGACUGAACAGGAGCCUGUUUUUGCUUUAAGUUACAUUUGGUGACUGAGGUCCCAGCGCCAGCUACUAGGGAAAGGAUGUCACCCCUGCAUGGUGAGCACUGCCAUCAAAGCCCCCGUGCUGUCAGCCUUGGGUUCUAGCCUUGGCUCUGCAAUCAACUAGCUGAGCGAUCUUGGACAAGUCACUUAACCUCUCAGUUUCUUCAUCUGUCAUAUGAGGGCGCUGGCUAGAUGACCUCUAGACCUCUCCCAGUUCUUAUAGAGGGAAAUUCAGAUGCGUUUUAAUAGCACCUUUUUCUGAAGGAGAAAUAAAACAAAAGGGAAGUGAACAAAGGUAAUCCAUCUUCCCAACCACCCAUCUACCCACUCACUUCCACAGUCGCAGUCACUCCCAAAGACCAGACCCUGAAAUCCAGCAAUUAGAUACCUUGAGACCCGGCUUUAAGCCGAACCCAUCCCAAGAAGCCACCUUCUGUUGAGGGCAGACUUCUCAGGAGCAGGAGUAAACUAGUGCAUGCUGCUUGAAAGUAGAGAUGACAUUGUAUUUGCUGUGUAAACCCUAAUACCCCAACCCAGUGUCUGGCAAAUAGAAGCUAUUUUUAGCCUUCGCCAUCUGCAACUUUAUAUGUCAGAGUAGUUUGAACCAAAUUUCGGUAGGACUCGAGUUCAAAACAUUUCAGUCUUUCCCUUUGUUUCUGAGGCUCAAGUAGAGGGACCUCAAAAAAACCAAAGUGGAAAAUAGGGAACAACAAAGUGAUUUGGUAUCAAGAAUUGUCCACUUCCUGGAAAAGCACUGGCCAGGGGACACAUUAGUCCCUCCACCAUCUCUGUCUGUCUUUCCCGCCUCUUCCUCUCCUUUUCCUUCAUUAGGAGAGGGGACAAGAUCCUUUUUCUUCUUUCCCUAUCUUCAAGGCACCAUUGGGACUAUGAAGGGUGUGUAACAGGAGUCUCUUUUUCUCUGAAUAUUUCUAGGUGGCAGUUGUCAUCUCUCUCCUUGUCUUCUCCAUUGCUCAGUGCUCAAAAAGCACCACCUUAUGGCCCCCUGAGUUCUUUGCUCCAUGUCUUUUCUCUUUUCUGGCCUUUAGCAUCCACAGAGGGCUACUGCCUACAUAGCUGUCACCCAUUCUCAGAGAUGGGAUUAAUCACACCUUCAUCUUCUCUUCUAGUACCAAACGAGCCUCAUUAAUUCCUAUAAUUGUUUCUGAGCCCUUUAAUUGUCUUUGCCAUCUUGAAAGUGGCAUCUGUUUGCUUGGCUCUACAGCAGCACUUUGGUUUAUAUCCUUUUCUAUCUGUUAAAAGCAGUAGAGAUUAAGUAAUUAAGUACCUGGCCUCUGAAGUCAAACAGACUUGGGUUGGAGUCUUGGCUCACUGCUUAUAAGCUGUGUGAUCAUGGCAAGUUACUUAACUUUGCUGGGUUCAUCUAUAAAAGGGAUUAACGAGAGCACCUACAACACAGCACUUGUGAAGACCGAAGGAGGUCAGACAUGCAAAGUGCUUACCACAAUGCUUGGCACACUGUACCCCUUAAAAAGAAAAAAGCAACUCUUUCUGCCUUGCCUCCCAGUCUCCCUGUAGACCUAUGUAUAAUCUAUAGUCCAGCUAUGUCCACCCAGAACUUGCUGAGAUGAUGGAAAUUCCAAUAUGGUAGCCACUAGCCACAUGUAGCUACUGAAUACUUAAAAUGUGGCUGUGCAACUCAGGAAAUGAAACUUUAAUUUUAUUUCGUUUGAAUUAUUUAGAUUUAAAGUGCCACAUGUGCUUAGUGGCUACCAUACUGGAAAUAUCCAAUGGAUAUAUGGACAUAUAUAUAUAUAUAUAUGGACAUAGCUGGGCCAGUGGCUACCUAUAGCUAUAUCUUUGCUGUACAUGAGGGAAGGGCUGGCCUUUUGAGCACACUGGGGAAAGUGUGAUAUGAAAUGUGUCAUGGGCUGGGGGUCUCCACUUGACACUACCAUGGAAGCUUCAGCAGGUCAAUUCACCUCUGUGCCUCAGUUUCCUCACCUAUAAAGUUGAGUAGUUGACCAAUGUUCCAAGAUCCCUUCCAUCCAGGGCUGCUGUCUAUGAGCACAUGGACUGUGCACAGCGCUACUGCAGGCUGGCAGCACCAUUCACAGAGACUACAAUGUGAAGGGUGCCCCCUGGAGUUGCGGAACCUCAUAGUCUUGCUUCUAUCCCUAAAUAUUCUGGGGCUUGACAAGGUUGAUUUCCCAAACUGCCUCUUCUGAGACAUCCUGCAAGUCUGGAGGGGCUUCCAGGCUACUUCAGAAUGCAAUCUGUGAGGGGAACGGGGGUGCUGGGGAAGAGUGCAUGCAUAUGACAUUAGGUCUGAAUCCCUCUGCCAAUACUGCCUGGUUAAUCUGCCCAACCCUCUGCCUUGGUCUCAGACUCCACAGACAUACUGCAAAUGUUUACACCCACUAUUUAAUAGGCACUAAUGUGAGGCACUGCUCCUAUUAAAGCACUGAAUGAGUAGACAUGCAGUCUUAGUGGACAUUAACACCAUAGCACAAAUUAGCCCAUUCUAAAGUGCUAACUAGCUGAGAGCCGUUUUGCUAAGGCAGAGAGCUAUUUGGAGUCUGCCAGUGCCUAGAGAAGGUAGACCUAGAUAGGACCUGGUGGGCGAGUGAAGCAGAGGUUUCUGCUGUGUGCAUGUCUGUGGGGGUGCAUGCAGAAGUACUUUAGAGGAGUUGAAAGGUCCUGAACGAGGGGACAGUGGUGCUCCAUGGCCCACUUCCUGGGUGGCCCCAUUCUGCCCAGUGCCGGCCCCGCACAGGGAUGCAUGAAGCACUAUUCACACAGCAGUGCUGCUCCUGCCGCCUCCUCUUGGGGUCCUGCCAUCUCUCUCAGUUCACUGAUGCCACGCAUUCUAGGCCCUGUGAACUUCCUGUUCCAGGGUGGACCCUGGGGUUUGCAUCCUUGCCCUUCUUUUCAGAAGAGAAGCUUCAGUCGGCUGGAUGUUAAUUACGCAUCCUUAGGCAGCCAGCCCUGUGUCGCUGCUAAGGGGCGCAGCCACAGCUGUUGCCAGCCCAAGCCCUGGAGGCCCAUGGGACACGCUUGUGACAGCAGCCUAGUGUGACUGCAACAUCCUUCCUUCUCCUCCUGUUCUCUCUCUUAAAACUAAUCAUGACAAUGAAGUAAAAAUAACAAACAUUUACUGAGUGACUACGCCAUGCUCUGUGCCAAGCACUUCAGAUCUGUCACCUCACUGAAUCCUCAAGCCAAUCCCUAAAUGUAGGGAUUCAGGCUCAGAGAGGUGAAGUAACUCCUACAAGGUCACAUAUUUUAUUACGUGGUUGAGCUGGAACUCCAACCCAGGUCUGUGUGGCCCCGCAGUCCCGGCUCCCCGCUACCGCCUCCUUCUUUCCUUUCUUUCAUUACACUGCUCCUUCCCUCCCCGCUCUCUCCUGGCACACAGACUCAGGAGCUGCCCUGGGGAGACAGACACUCACAUCGGUGAUUCUAAUGGAGUGUGAGAAAGGAUGGGAUGUGGGGAAGGAUGAGCCAUCAGGGAAGGCUCUACGGGAAGAUGCGUGCUUGGGCUGAGCCUUAAUCGUGGAAGAGGACACCUCCCUGUUUAGUCUGAGAACUCAGGCUUACCAGUAUGUCCCACUUGUGGAUUCUAUUUGUGGAGGGGAGAAACGGGAAGAGGAGAGCAAUGAGCUGCUAGGCUACAACUAGUAAGAGGCCCCCACCCCUCACCCCACUCCCUUCUCUUCCUUCUACAAACACUGUGUUCACAAAGCACUUACUGGGAGCUGAGGGAUGAAUAUAUAAAGAAAUAAAGUGUGAUACCUGCUCCCAAGGUCUCGAAAUCCAGGCUGGGAGCACAUAUACCCAAUGGCUUGUGCUGUAAGUCAGCAAAAUAGAAAUGGGCUUUGGCAACAUUCAAAUAUGGUGCCGUGUGGGCCUGGAGGGGAGGAGGUGUCUGAGUCUGUUACUGAGGAAUAGACACAGGAAGAAGGUGAGAGAGGGAGAGAUGGCGAGGAGGAGAGCCUUAGAGAAAGAGGGAAUGGAAAAUAAGGUGGCUGCUGGAAGGAUCUUAUGAGGAGUGAGAAGUCUGAUGGGCUUGGGAGCUCAAGAUUGUGGGGUACAUGACUGGUGACAAUUAGUGGCCAGCUUUGGGGUCAAGGGAAAGAUUUUGGACAAAUGUUUGAUAAGGCAUGAUUGGUUCCUGAAGUGGCAUUUUCCCAGUGUUUUGACAAACUUGCUGCUGUUUUCAAGGCCAGCGGCCCAAAGCAUCUGGGAAGCCUUCCCUGUCUGUUCCAUGGUACCAGCCUCCUUGGCUGACGCACCUUAGGCACAGUUAUCGGCUCUUUCUUGGACCACUGCAGUAGCCUAUUCAGCGGUCAUACUGUUUUACUUGGACCCUGCUACGACCCCCCUUUCUCCUCACAGCAGCCAGAGUGAUUGUUUUAACCCGUAAAUCAGAUCACCUCCCUCCUGCCCACCAGGCUUGAUGGAAAUCAGGUCAUUUGAAAAUGACAGCUGAGACACAAGAAUUUCUAGAAGCAAUCUCAGAACAUGAGGUGGUCUAGUCUCCCAUGAUGUCAGGUUCCUUGUUCUUCACCCAUAUUUUUUUUGCCCAUGAUGCACUCUUCUCUUCUCCUCUCCCCAGGUCAAGGCCUCAGGGUGUCCCCUAUCAGAAAUGGUCCUGAGGAAAGAAUCUAAAGAAGCCUGGCCAAGGACAGGGCUCCUGGGACUCCUCCCUGCCAGAGUAUGUGGUUCAGUGUCUGCAGUUAUGGGGAGCAGCAUGCAAACUGAAUCUGGCAAGCAUAGACUUCAGCCUGCUAACCAAGAGUUGGAAAUGCUUCCCUGGUGAUUCAAAUGCAUGGCCAUGGUUGAGAACCACCAGCUCAGCCCGAGGAAUCUAGCCCGAUACUCUCACCAGAAUCAUGAUAUUUGCAUUGGCUUGUAACUGCGUUGACAAUAACUCUUUAGAACUGUGCAUCUAAGGAGUUUCCAUGGCCACCACUGACGCCACGGUCUGCUCUUGAGAGCUCCCCGACUCAUCGUUUGGCUGUCAGGUAUACAUCUUAGUGUACUUUCUUUUUAGGAGGAAACUGCAUGAUGGUAUAUUUUUGGAAUUUUUACAUAUCUGAGAAAGCCUUUGUAUUGUCUUAAAAGUAAACAACACCUUGGUUGGCUGGUGUGUUCUUGUUCUUGAUUCAGAACCUUUCCCUCCCCUGUGUAGCUGCUGCUCUCUCUCCAUCUCGCUCCCUUUUUUUUUUUUUUUAAUUUUUUUAGCUUUUUAGCUGCUUUCUGGAACUUACAUCAUCUUAUGUUAUGGAAAUCUCUGCGGCAAAUCUAACUUGCGUUCCUUUGUAGAGAGCUUUUUUUUCUUUUUCAAUUCCCCGCCUGGACAUUUGUCGAAUUCUUUAUCCUUGUAAUUAAAAACAAAUCAUCAAUAUAUGUCUAUGUGUUGGUUACUUUCAAAUAAUUAUGCAUGCGGAGCCCUUUCCAUCUACUCAUUCAAGUCUUUCUAAAUUCAGGAAAGUUUUCCUCUACUCCGUCCUAUUUUGUCCUUUAUAUUGAUUCGAUUCCUUUUUAAAAAAUGAAUCCCCUUGCACUUCUUCAAGGACUCCCUUUAUCAGUAUGUUGGUUUUUACUCUCUGAGCUCAAACCCAAGGGUCUUUUUUCUGGCCACUUCCAUCUCCUAGUCCUUUUUGCUUCAGCAUCUGGAGAGCAUCUCUAGCUUGUCCUUCACGACUCUGUUGGUAUUUUUAUGGAAUCUAUUUUGCUCCCUGUCAUUUCCAAUGGCAUUAUUUGCUUCCCUUGUUUCUUUCCUUAACCUAUCAUGCCUUUAAAAGCAUCUUCAGUCUGUCAUCUUAUUACCUCCUCUUUUAUCUCAUAUUUUAUUAAGUUUACGGUCUCUUCUAUUUCACUUAAAAUAAAUGCCAUUUAAUAUUUACAUAU